CGGCGUUGUCCCUCGUCCCCAGGGUGGCAUCGGUGUCCCUCGUCCCCGUGGCAGCGUUGUCCCCGGUCCCCGCGGUCCCCACGGCCUUGACCCUCGUCCCCAGGGUGGCAUCGGUGUCCUGCGGUCCCCAUGGCCUUGUCCCUCGUCCCCACAGUGGCAUCGGUGUCCUGCGGUCCCCAUGGCGGCGUUGUCCCUCAUCCCUGCGGUCCCCACGGCCUUGUUCUUCGUCCCCACAGUGACAUCGGUGUCCUGUGGUCCCCAUGGUGGCGUUGUCCCUCAUCCCUGUGGUCCCCAUGGCCUUGUCCCUCGUCCCCGCGGUCCCUGCGGUGUUGUCCCUUGUCCCCACGGUGGCAUCGGUGUCCUGCGGUCCCCGUGGCGGCGUUGUCCCUCGUCCCCGCAGUCCCCAUGGUGGCAUUGGUGUCCUGCGGUCCCCGUGGUGGCGUUGUCCCUCGUCCCCGCGGUCCCCACGGUGGCAUUGGUGUCCCUUGUCCCCACGGUGGCAUCGGUGUCCUGCGGUCCCCGUGGCGGCGGCGUUAUCCCCGGUCCCCGCGGCGGCGGCACCGUUGUCCCCGGUCGCCGCGGUGGCUGACGCGGGGCUCGGGGACGCCGCCGGUGCCGGUGCCGGUGACGACGGCAGGCUGCUGGUGGGGGGCACGCGGCUGCGCGACCCCCC
This 673-nucleotide long non-coding RNA is filed under the name Apteryx owenii (little spotted kiwi). RNAcentral describes it as "lncRNA (ENSAOWG00000001832.1)". The record is from RNAcentral. Lineage: Eukaryota; Metazoa; Chordata; Aves; Apterygiformes; Apterygidae.